CGCGGGGUGGAGCAGCCUGGUAGCUCGUCGGGCUCAUAACCCGAAGGUCGCAAGUUCAAAUCUUGCCCCCGCAACCA
This 77-nucleotide transfer RNA is filed under the name Thiomonas delicata. RNAcentral describes it as "tRNA-Met". It matches the Rfam family "tRNA". From Rfam's summary of the family: Transfer RNA (tRNA) molecules are approximately 80 nucleotides in length. Their secondary structure includes four short double-helical elements and three loops (D, anti-codon, and T loops). Further hydrogen bonds mediate the characteristic L-shaped molecular structure. tRNAs have two regions of fundamental functional importance: the anti-codon, which is responsible for specific mRNA codon recognition, and the 3' end, to which the tRNAs corresponding amino acid is attached (by aminoacyl-tRNA synthetases). tRNAs cope with the degeneracy of the genetic code in two manners: having more than one tRNA (with a specific anti-codon) for a particular amino acid; and 'wobble' base-pairing, i.e. permitting non-standard base-pairing at the 3rd anti-codon position. The record is from RNAcentral. RNAcentral also lists the same sequence under 7 other names. Lineage: Bacteria; Pseudomonadati; Pseudomonadota; Betaproteobacteria; Burkholderiales.